This 70-nucleotide transfer RNA is filed under the name marine eukaryotic metagenome. It matches the Rfam family "tRNA". Rfam says of the family: Transfer RNA (tRNA) molecules are approximately 80 nucleotides in length. The record is from RNAcentral.
CGGAAUAGCUCAGAUGGUAGAGCAACUGACUUGUAAUCAGUAGGUCACGGGUUCGACUCCUGUUUCCGGC